CGAGUUGCCGAGGCAAUCGCUCCGCAGAUUCUGCGGGGAGGAAAGUCCGAACACUCAGUUCUCUUUAUGAGAUCACGGGUAGCGGGUAACGCCCGUCCGGAGCAAUCCGAGAGGUGCGAGCAGAGACGCCUGUAUGCCGAAAGGCAUCAGGCACCCAGCCAUGUUGGCAGGGUGAGUCCCAUGGCGACAUGGGAAGUGAAACGGCUAAAUCCUUACCUGAGUGCAAGAGCAAACCAGAAGUUUUGCUAACCUGUAGAACUUCUGUGCAAAGGUAGCUUGCUUGAGCUAACUGGCAACAGUUGGCCCAGAUAGAUGAUUGUCACGGGUCACGUAGUGGCCCGACAGAAUUCGGCUUACUGACAACUCGUCGU
RNAcentral lists this RNase P RNA (371 nucleotides) under bacterium. Its description in RNAcentral is "RNase P RNA component class A". It matches the Rfam family "Bacterial RNase P class A". From Rfam's summary of the family: Ribonuclease P (RNase P) is a ubiquitous endoribonuclease, found in archaea, bacteria and eukarya as well as chloroplasts and mitochondria. Its best characterised activity is the generation of mature 5'-ends of tRNAs by cleaving the 5'-leader elements of precursor-tRNAs. The record is from RNAcentral.